GUUAGGGUAUAAAAGUGGGCUAGUUUGAGGGUCUGGUGUGGGAUUUGGUUUUGCCACUGAACAAGCUUCAGAUAUUUCCAACUCUUCCUACCAUCGAAACUCAACAACAAUCAUGCCUGCAUACAUGGACAUCACUCCUCAAGACAACAUUCAAUAUGCCAGAUGUAAACUGCACAGCCUGGAGCGGAAAUGCUUCAGCAAAGUGGAGAAGCUGAAAUCGUCAUUUGAAGACCACCUUCUUCAUCAGGGCGUUCCUGCGUCCGACAUUCUGGACAAAACCGUGUCUUUCUUCAGCUCCAAAAAGGCCUUGAUUUUCCCCAGCGGAUACUCCAGGUGCUCCCGCGAAAUCCUGCGACUUUCUCCCAGCGCGGAUCAGGACGUGACGCCGCUGUUCUGAAUCAACAUCAUCCAGCACAGACUGAAAUUAAACAAAACAGUCAAGCACUUGAUCUGACCAUGUGUGUGUGUCAGUACAGCUACCUCAGAGCAAAACAGCACUACACUUGAUCUCUUUAGACUUUUUUAUUCAUUCUUUGAUUUUCCGUCGGCUUAGUCUCUUUAUUUAUCAGUGGUCGCCACAGCGGAAUGAACCACCAGCUGUUUCAGCAUAUGUUUUACACAGCGGAUGUCCUUCAAGCCGGAACCCAGUACUGGGAAACAUCCAUACACACAUACACUACGGCCAAUUUAGUUUAUCCAAUUCACAUAAAGUUGAAGUCAGAAUUAUUCGCCCCCUUUGAAUUUUUUUCUUAUUUAAAUAUUUCCCAAAUG
Danio rerio (zebrafish) is the source of this 771-nucleotide non-coding RNA. Lineage: Eukaryota; Metazoa; Chordata; Actinopteri; Cypriniformes; Danionidae. The record is from RefSeq and is a predicted model, not a curated record.